UACAGAGGUCUCAAGCGUUGUUCGGAUUCAUUGGGCGUAAAGGGUGCGUAGGUGGCGCUGUAAGUCGGGUGUGAAAUUUCGGAGCUUAACUCCGAAACUGCAUUCGAUACUGCGGUGCUUGAGGACUGGAGAGGAGACUGGAAUUCAUGGUGUAGCAGUGAAAUGCGUAUAUAUCAGGAGGAACACCAGCGGUGUAGACGGCUUUCUGGACCAUUGCUGACGCUGAGACACGAAAGCGUGGGUAGCAAACAGG
RNAcentral lists this ribosomal RNA (253 nucleotides) under uncultured bacterium. RNAcentral's name for it is "partial 16S ribosomal RNA". It matches the Rfam family "Bacterial small subunit ribosomal RNA", at positions 524 to 776 of the family's 1533-position model. The record is from RNAcentral.